GAGCCCAUGGCUCAAUGGUUAGAGCGUUUGACUUCUGAUCCAUGUGUCGUGGGUUCG
This 57-nucleotide transfer RNA is filed under the name Schistocephalus solidus. It matches the Rfam family "tRNA", at positions 1 to 55 of the family's 71-position model. Rfam says of the family: Transfer RNA (tRNA) molecules are approximately 80 nucleotides in length. Lineage: Eukaryota; Metazoa; Platyhelminthes; Cestoda; Diphyllobothriidea; Diphyllobothriidae. The record is from Rfam by way of RNAcentral.